Molecule: ribosomal RNA, 858 nt
Filed under: uncultured archaeon
Lineage: Archaea
Description: bacterial SSU rRNA
Rfam family: Archaeal small subunit ribosomal RNA
Source: RNAcentral
UAAGCCAUGCGAGUCAACAUAGCAAUAUGUGGCAUACGGCUCAGUAACACGUAGUCAACAUGCCCAGGGGACGUGGAUAACCUCGGGAAACUGAGGAUAAACCGCGAUAAGUCACUACUUCUGGAAUGGGUAAUGACUUAAAUCUAUAUGGCCCCUGGAUUGGACUGCGGCCGAUCAGGCUGUCGGUGAGGUAAUGGCCCACCAAACCUGUAACCGGUACGGGCUCUGAGAGGAGGAGCCGGGAGAUGGGCACUGAGACAAGGGCCCAGGCCCUAUGGGGCGCAGCAGGCGCGAAACCUCUGCAAUAGGCGAAAGCCUGACAGGGUUACUCUGAGUGGUUCCCGCUAAGGGGAUCUUUUGGCACCUCUAAAAAUGGUGCAGAAUAAGGGGUGGGCAAGUCUGGUGUCAGCCGCCGCGGUAAUACCAGCACCCCGAGUGGUCGGGACGUUUAUUGGGCCUAAAGCAUCCGUAGCCGGUUCUGCAAGUCUUCCGUUAAAUCCACCUGCUUAACAGAUGGGCCGCGGAAGAUACUAUAGAGCUAGGAGGCGGGAGAGGCAAGCGGUACUCGAUGGGUAGGGGUAAAAUCCGUUGAUCCAUUGAAGACCACCAGUGGCGAAGGCGGCUUGCCAGAACGCGCUCGACGGUGAGGGAUGAAAGCUGGGGGAGCAAACCGGAUUAGAUACCCGGGUAGUCCCAGCUGUAAACGAUGCAGACUCGGUGAUGAAUUGGCUUUAUGCCUAUUCAGUGCCGCAGGGAAGCCGUUAAGUUUGCCGCCUGGGGAGUACGGUCGCAAGACUGAAACUUAAGGAAUUGGCGGGGGAGCACCACAAGGGGUGAAGCCUGCGGUUCAAUUGGAUC